GUAAAAGAAUACAAAACCGCAAAGGAGGAACGUGAAGUACAACGGCGGUACACCGUUAAAUGCAAAAAAAGCCAAGCCUUAGUUGCCUUUCUUGCUUUUUUUUAACUAACCCAAACCCUCCUUCUCAGAUAAAAACCCCCAACUCCGCUUGCUUUCUCAUCUCUCUCAAAACCCUCUAUAGAAGUCUCUCUGUUUCUGGUAUUCAAAUUUCAAAAUUCAACUAUGUCUUGCUUCAAGGGCAAAUACACCGAUGAGCUCAUUGCCAAUGCUGCUUACAUUGGCACCCCUGGAAAGGGAAUCCUUGCAGCAGAUGAAUCAACUGGCACAAUAGGCAAGCGUCUAGCUAGCAUCAAUGUUGAGAAUGUUGAGGACAACAGAAGGGCGCUUCGAGAACUCCUCUUCACCACCCCUGGUGCUCUCCAAUGCCUCAGUGGCGUGAUUCUCUUUGAGGAAACCCUUUACCAGAAGUCAAAAUCAGGCAAGCCUUUUGUUGACAUCUUGAAGGAGGGAGGUGUCCUUCCUGGUAUUAAAGUUGACAAGGGUACCGUUGAACUUGCUGGCACCAAUGGUGAGACUACAACCCAGGGUCUUGAUGGCCUUGCACAGCGAUGCCAGAAGUACUACGAGGCUGGCGCUCGCUUUGCCAAAUGGCGUGCUGUACUCAAGAUUGGCCCCAAUGAGCCAUCUCAGCUUGCCAUCAAUGAGAAUGCCAAUGGGUUGGCCAGAUAUGCCAUCAUCUGCCAGGAGAACGGGUUGGUCCCUAUUGUGGAGCCUGAGAUCUUGGUUGAUGGACCUCAUGACAUUAACAAGUGUGCCGAGGUCACUGAGCGCGUUCUUGCUGCCUGCUACAAAGCUCUCAAUGACCACCAUGUCUUGCUUGAGGGAACUCUUUUGAAGCCCAACAUGGUGACCCCAGGAUCAGAAUCCAAAAAAGUUGCACCUGAGGUGAUUGCUGAGUACACUGUCCGUGCCCUCCAACGCACUGUGCCUGCUGCAGUUCCUGCUAUUGUGUUCUUGUCUGGAGGCCAGAGUGAGGAGGAGGCCACCCUUAACCUCAAUGCCAUGAACAAGCUCAAGACCAAGAAGCCAUGGUCUCUAUCCUUCUCCUUUGGACGUGCCCUUCAACAGAGUACCCUUAAGGCAUGGGCUGGCAAGGAGGAGAAUGUGAAGAAGGCUCAGGAUGCAUUCAUCGUCAGGUGCAAGGCCAACUCAGAGGCAACUCUUGGAACUUACAAAGGCGAUGCCACUCUCGGUGAGGGUGCUUCAGAGAGCCUCCAUGUCAAGGACUACAAAUACUAAGAGGUCUCAAAGUGUGUUUGAAAGUGAUGAGUAAUAGGAUGUCUCAUCUCAGGCAUAGUAAUUGUAGUUUCUUCUUUUCUUAAGUUAAUGAUAGGAUUUAGCUUGAAGUAGCAUAAUAAAAGGUCGAGGAAACAUCGGCGUGUUGAGUUUGAAUGGUUUUGGACAGUUUCGGUGGAGAACUGUUUUAAUGUUUUGUUUUCCUACAAUUUAUUGAAUUUCAACGAUAUCUGAUGGAAACAUAGAUCUGUGCACUUGUUAUUUUCAUUGUGAAUUAUGUAUGCUGUAACCUUAUAGUCAAUCUUCGCUCGUUAUCUUGAUAAAAGAUGCAAGACUUUCUGGGAAUGCGGGCCUAAAAUGAAGAGUAUUCGAGCGUGGCCUUGUUCCCAAAGGGUUGCUGCCUGUGCGGGUAAGAUGUAUUUUUGUUGUUGCUCGGGUUGACGAUCUCGUAUGCAGGCAAAUGGAAAUGGAUUUUGGAGGGGAAAUUAGUUUCAUGAUGUAAAAACUAAAAGAAAUGAUGGUAUCAAAAUAUUUAUGGUUGAGUUUAAAAUUUAAAUAGAGCUUUGUUAUUUUAUAUGUCAUGAAUUUUAGAUAUAUUAUAUUGUGAUUUGGC
This 1909-nucleotide unclassified non-coding RNA is filed under the name Hevea brasiliensis (rubber tree). The record is from RNAcentral. Lineage: Eukaryota; Viridiplantae; Streptophyta; Magnoliopsida; Malpighiales; Euphorbiaceae.